GUUUUCUCUGAGCAAAUACUUAAAUACAACCUAUUAAGCCAGGUUUCUCAUCAUCUCAUACCUAUAGUUGUCUAUUUAAGCCUUAUAUGUUUUUUUCCUUUAAAAGUUUACACAAGUAUAAACGAAGGCAAGAAAGCAAGAAUUCACUAUCAGUUUGGUUAACUUUCACCUAGUCUUACUGUAUUUUUACAGUAUUUUUACAGUAAGACUAGUUUUGCUGGACCGGGGAUGGGUAGAUACACUUCUCAGAGGAAGUGAAUAAGCAUCCCAGAGUUUGCUGAGAAGUGGUAGAUUAUUAGCAGUUGAACUACAACUGGUGGCUCUAUCAUAAUGAAGGAAACAAGAAAAUGAUGUGAUGUGAAAGGUCGAUUUGUGUUUGAAUAUGAAUUUUACAAGAAAUGUGGCAUAAUAAUUUUCAAAAGAUGGCUGAUAGGUUGCUCUAAUUCACCUCCCCAUCACACAACAUUUCUGCCACUUGUUUUGUGUAUAUGCACAAUAUUUUACUUUUUUUCCUAAGUUUUUAAAGUUCAAAUUUCAGUUUUCUUUUAUAAGUGUUCAAUGAAGCUACUGCAGAAUCUUUCAAGAGCCAUGCAGAAUAUCUGCAAUUACUAGUGCAAGAACAAUUCUGCAAAUGUAACACUAGAUUUGUACAGUUGUACUGUUCACUAAAACUUCCAAAAGCUAGUUCCUCUACUGCUCCCUAAGGCACAAAUUCAGGCUUUACGUGAAUUAAGCUAUAUUGAAGACACAAACUGAAGCAGUCACCUGCAGCAAUCCAGACUCUGCAUCUUCCUGAUAUCCUAUAAAAAACAAAUCCCAGAUCAAAUACUACUUCUGUAUGUUCAGGUUGUUUGUGGGCUAUUCACAAAGACAAUAGCUGUACAUUCUGCAUAGAUGAGAUAGGCAGGUUGAAAGGGAAUCACCACAAAACUGUUAUCAGAAGAGGAACAGAAGUAAGUACCAGAUGCAUGCAUAAUGAGGUAAUUGCACAGCAGUAGGAGAGAUUUAAUUAUACCUGAUCUGGCAAGUUAUUUGUUUCUUCACUGUGCUAAUGCUAAGCCAAACAAAAGAUCAGGAUGUUGUUUCCCAUCAUGUUUUACAACAAUUGUUAGCAUUUAGAAGAAUGCUUUUUAAAAGUUAAGUGUUAAACUACUAGGAAAAUAUACUUUGCAAAGUCACAUUUUCAAAUGUUAUUUGAAGUAAGGGAAAUUUUUAUCUGAGCAAGAAAUUACAGCACCAGAAACCAGUCUACAUAGCAGUUUAACAAAGCUGCUAUUUUAUAUAUUUAAUAUAUUUAUAUUAAGCUCUUCUUUUCGUUCAUUGGCUUUUAUAUCCAAACACAGAUGCUUCAUAAAUGGAAUGUAUUUUACAAGCCUUUCUUCUUUGUUUUCUAUGAAGGGUUUUUAUACUGAAUUUGGUAAACUUUGUGUUGGAUGUCAUCUAAAUGUUGCUGAUGUAAAAACAAUGAUUUGUGACCAUCCACAGUGGUGAAUACAACAAACGUCCAGUAGAUGGAGAGAACACACUAUGAAAGGAAACAACCAAUGUCUGCAGAAGGAGUGAGGCUCCAACUAUGUAAGAGAUGAUCAGAUGGGACAAUUUGACGAGUGGAUCGUCUCUCAGACUCUGUUAGCACCCUGCAAGGACAUAUGGUUCUUUUACUCUGCCUUGGCCAGAUUCUGCAGCCAUGACCCACCCCUGAUAGUACUGUGACAGGCCUCCCAAAAGAGGUGAUAAAUGCACCGUGUACUGCUCAUUGUUCCUUAAAUGUAUUUUCUUACCAUUGCACCAGCUGUACAUACUGGACUUCUUAAGGAUGGUAAUUAGGAAAUAUAGUUGAAACAGGUUUAAGGGUGUGCAAAGGAGGACAGAAAUACUACGAUUGAUUUUUCUGUAUUUUUGUUUUUACAGACUUCUGUCUACUCAAGUAUCAGAGCAUUAAUCCCAAACGUGAUAAAUACUUUAUACCCAUGCUUCUAAAGGACAUCAGCCUGGGGGGAGGUAUCACAUCAGAGUAUCUUCAGCCGCAUAAAGCCUUUUAGUAACAUUGUUCAUAGCAGUCUGCUGUGACCACACAAGAAUAUGUGAUCUUAGGUAGGAACACGUAAAACUUCGGUAUAAUAAUUUCUCAGCAGUAGCUGCUAUAGCUGAGAAUCCACUAAUGAGCCACCUGCUUCCCAAAGCACAGUACAGCUCAUAAACAGUAUCUUUUAUAGGGAUUUGCUACUCUUUUCAAGGGUGACAAACAAAUCUGGCAAAUUCAAUCAAUGAGUUUCACAGAACAGGGAACGACAGCCCACAGCCCCUUUUUAAUGCACUUUUCUGUGUGGAUAGCCUGAUUUUAUUUUAUUUUUAUAGACUGAAAGAAGAGGAAAAGGUGAUGGUCCUGCAUUGCAGGCGGUCCUUAAUGCUGUGUCAGCCCUCAAAAACAGUGGGUGGCUACCUGAGUUAGCAGUGCCCUGGAAGUUUGCUUUGUACCAGAAAAUGGCUUGGGAAAGAAGAACUAUGAGAAAAGAACCCUGAGCUGCACUGGGGGCAGCUUCCAGUUGCUUGCUCUAGGUGAUAAGGUGGCAAUGGAACAUAGAGAAAAAGGCAGAGAUGUUCUGAAGCAAUAGUUAAGAGUUCUUCCUACAUACUAUAGACUUUUGCUGAAGAACUACUAAACUCUUGGUUGUGAAGAAACAUUUUUCUAAAUAGAGAGAAAGAGACUUUCUUAGCUCCACUGCAUUUAUUCAAAAAUUUCUAUUUCUUAAUCUUCAUGGGAAAAAAAAAAAAGAGAACUGAAAAAAUUAACUGAAAGUAUGUGUUCUUAAAUAUGAAAGGAUCAAGUUGCAUCUUUGAGAAGUGUGCAUGUACCAAUCAGAGGUAAGUAAGCUGUCUUGUACCACAACUGCCAAGUUGGUAGAUGUUCUUGACAACUUGGCUUUAGUCUGAAAGAGAACCAGAAUAGUUCCACCCCAUUGCCUCUCAUCUUGGAGUCUUGCAUAUCUGGCAAUCUGCUGGACUACGGAAUCUAAUCUAGGAUGAUCUAUUUCAUGCCUCAUAAAUUCAUUUUAGCCAUGGAAGCUCACACAACUCAAGGUAACUAAGGCAGAUGGAGAAGCAUCGCUGAAAGAACAGAAGUGAUUCAAUGAUCAUUUGAUAAGACAAAGUAGGUAUUUUGGGACUGAGAUAACUGUGGAGACAGAAAACAUAAGAAUAUGGACUGUUUUUCCCCAGAUCAGCUCUAGCUUCAAUCAGAAAAAAAAUUAUUGACAACAAAAACUCAUUAAAAAAAUUAUAUGUAAUUUCAUUCUCCAAGUGAUACAUUUUUUGAAUAGAGUUUAGUUCAGUU
This is a non-coding RNA of Meleagris gallopavo (turkey), 3334 nucleotides long. The record is from RefSeq and is a predicted model, not a curated record. NCBI's taxonomy places the organism in Eukaryota, Metazoa, Chordata, Aves, Galliformes, Phasianidae.